AACAAACGCUGGCGGCGUGCCUAACACAUGCAAGUCGUACGAGAAAGUCGGCUUCGGCCGAUGAGUACAGUGGCGCACGGGUGAGUAACGCGUGGGUAAUCUACCCCUCGGUCAGGAAUAACCCGCCGAAAGGCGGGCUAAUACCCGAUAACACUGACGCUCUGCGGAGUGUCUUUCAAAGAAGGCCUCUGUUUACAAGCUUUCGCCGGAGGAUGAGCCCGCGUACCAUUAGCUAGUUGGCAGGGUAAUGGCCUACCAAGGCAACGAUGGUUAGCUGGUCUGAGAGGAUGGCCAGCCACACUGGAACUGAGACACGGUCCAGACUCCUACGGGAGGCAGCAGUGAGGAAUCUUGCGCAAUGGGGGAAACCCUGACGCAGCAACGCCGCGUGAGUGAGGAA
This 400-nucleotide ribosomal RNA is filed under the name uncultured bacterium. RNAcentral describes it as "bacterial SSU rRNA". It matches the Rfam family "Bacterial small subunit ribosomal RNA", at positions 29 to 412 of the family's 1533-position model. The record is from RNAcentral.